Vigna angularis (adzuki bean) is the source of this 415-nucleotide long non-coding RNA. RefSeq lists it as uncharacterized. Lineage: Eukaryota; Viridiplantae; Streptophyta; Magnoliopsida; Fabales; Fabaceae. The transcript is spliced from 2 exons. The record is from RefSeq and is a predicted model, not a curated record.
CGUGUCAUCAUUGACGUGCAACCACAUAUCUAUCACCUCAUUCCAAGUUGCAUUAUAUAAAGAAGUGCAGAAGAGAGAAACUCCACAAUCUGUUUCCUUUGAAGUAGUUUCAGAGCUUGAAGAAUUUUCAUCGAUAUGGAGAGAAAAACAACACUAGGGUUUAUGCUGCUUCUCCUCAUAAUCUUUGCUUCUGAUGUGGCCGUGAAGAGAACGGAGGCGAGAGAAUGUUCAACGCCGAGCCACAGUUUCAAGGGUGUAUGCAUCAGCGACAAGAACUGUGAAGCCGUGUGUAACACCGAAGGUUUUACCGGCGGCAAGUGUGAAGGUUUCCGUCAGCGAUGCAUGUGUACCAAAAUUUGUUGAAAUUUAUUCGCUUUUCUUUCAAUAAAAACCCAAUAAAUCCAUUUAUCAAUCA